UACAGAGGGUGCAAGCGUUGUUCGGAAUUAUUGGGCGUAAAGCGCGUGUAGGCGGCUUUGUAUGUCGGGUGUGAAAUCCCCGGGCUCAACCUGGGAAUUGCAUUCGAAACUGCGAGGCUAGGGUAUGGAAGAGGGAAGCGGAAUUUCUGAUGUAGCGGUGAAAUGCGUAGAUAUCAGAAGGAACAUCAGUGGCGAAAGCGGCUUCCUGGUCCAGUACCGACGUUCAGGCACGAAGGCGUGGGGAGCAAACAGG
RNAcentral lists this ribosomal RNA (253 nucleotides) under uncultured bacterium. Its description in RNAcentral is "partial 16S ribosomal RNA". It matches the Rfam family "Bacterial small subunit ribosomal RNA", at positions 524 to 776 of the family's 1533-position model. The record is from RNAcentral.